Molecule: non-coding RNA, 172 nt
Filed under: Chloroflexota bacterium
Lineage: Bacteria; Bacillati; Chloroflexota
Description: Chloroflexi bacterium FMN sequence
Rfam family: FMN riboswitch aptamer (RFN element)
About the family: The RFN element is a highly conserved domain that is found frequently in the 5'-untranslated regions of prokaryotic mRNAs that encode for flavin mononucleotide (FMN) biosynthesis and transport proteins. This element is a metabolite-dependent riboswitch that directly binds FMN in the absence of proteins. In Bacillus subtilis, the riboswitch most likely controls gene expression by causing premature transcription termination within the 5' untranslated region of the ribDEAHT operon and precluding access to the ribosome-binding site of ypaA mRNA.
Source: RNAcentral
CAGAGCCUUCGGGGCAGGGUGCGAUUCCCGACCGGUGGUAGGGUCCCGCGAAUGCGGGGCGAGCCCACGAGCGGCUCUUCGGGCGUCAGCCCGGGGAGUGCAGCAGAUCCGGGGCGAGGCAGGUCCUCGCCGAGCGGAGCCGACGGUACAGUCCGGAUGGAAGAAGGCCAAG